AUUGAACGCUGGCGGUAUGCUUAACACAUGCAAGUCGAACGGUAACAGCAGAGCUUGCUCUGGCUGACGAGUGGCGGACGGGUGAGUAGUACGUAGGAAUCUAUCCUUUAGUUGGGGAUAAGCCGGUGAAAACCGAGCUAAUACCGAAUAAGCUUUACGAAGGAAAGAGGGGGAUCUUUUGACCUCUCGCUGAAGGGUGAGCCUACGCCGGAUUAGCUUGUUGGUGAGGUAAAUGCUCACCAAGGCGAAGAUCAGUAGCUGGUCUGAGAGGACGACCGGCCACACUGGGACUGAGACACGGCCCAGACUUCUACGGGAGGCAGCAGUGGGGUAUAUUGGACAAUGGACGAAAGUCUGAUCCAGCAACGCCUCGUGAGGGAUGAAGGCCUUAGGGUCGUAAACCUCUUUUGACAGGGAAGAUAAUGACGGUACCUGUAGAAUAAGCAUCGGCUAACUUCGUGCCAGCAGCCGCAGUAAC
RNAcentral lists this ribosomal RNA (478 nucleotides) under uncultured bacterium. Its description in RNAcentral is "bacterial SSU rRNA". It matches the Rfam family "Bacterial small subunit ribosomal RNA", at positions 30 to 524 of the family's 1533-position model. The record is from RNAcentral.